AAGCAGGUCAUAGUGAUCCGGUGGUUCUGAAUGGAAGGGCCAUCGCUCAACGGAUAAAAGGUACUCCGGGGAUAACAGGCUGAUACCGCCCAAGAGUUCAUAUCGACGGCGGUGUUUGGCACCUCGAUGUCGGCUCAUCACAUCCUGGGGCUGAAGUAGGUCCCAAGGGUAUGGCUGUUCGCCAUUUAAAGUGGUACGCGAGCUGGGUUUAGAACGUCGUGAGACAGUUCGGUCCCUAUCUGCCGUGGGCGCUGGAGAACUGAGGGGGGCUGCUCCUAGUACGAGAGGACCGGAGUGGACGCAUCACUGGUGUUCGGAUUGUCAUGCCAAUGGCACUGCCCGGUAGCUAAAUGCGGAAGAGAUAAGUGCUGAAAGCAUCUAAGCACGAAACUUGCCCCGAGAUGAGUUCUCCCUGACUCCUUGAGAGUCCUGAAGGAACGUUGAAGACGACGACGUUGAUAGGCCGGGUGUGUAAGCGCAGCGAUGCGUUGAGCUAACCGGUACUAAUGAACCGUGAGGCUUAACCUUACAACGCCGAAGGUGUUU
RNAcentral lists this ribosomal RNA (546 nucleotides) under Escherichia coli. Its description in RNAcentral is "partial 23S ribosomal RNA". It matches the Rfam family "Bacterial large subunit ribosomal RNA", at positions 2403 to 2925 of the family's 2925-position model. The record is from RNAcentral. Lineage: Bacteria; Pseudomonadati; Pseudomonadota; Gammaproteobacteria; Enterobacterales; Enterobacteriaceae.